UGAGAGUUUGAUCCUGGCUCAGGACGAACGCUGGCGGCGUGCUUAACACAUGCAAGUCGAACGGAAAGGCCCCUUCGGGGGUACUCGAGUGGCGAACGGGUGAGUAACACGUGGGUAAUCUGCCCUGCACUUCGGGAUAAGCCUGGGAAACUGGGUCUAAUACCGGAUAGGACCAUUUAGCGCAUGCUUUAUGGUGGAAAGCUUUUGCGGUGUGGGAUGGGCCCGCGGCCUAUCAGCUUGUUGGUGGGGUGACGGCCUACCAAGGCGACGACGGGUAGCCGGCCUGAGAGGGUGUCCGGCCACACUGGGACUGAGAUACGGCCCAGACUCCUACGGGAGGCAGCAGUGGGGAAUAUUGCACAAUGGGCGCAAGCCUGAUGCAGCGACGCCGCGUGGGGGAUGACGGCCUUCGGGUUGUAAACCUCUUUCAGCAGGGACGAAGCGCAAGUGACGGUACCUGCAGAAGAAGCACCGGCCAACUACGUGCCAGCAGCCGCGGUA
Molecule: ribosomal RNA, 501 nt
Filed under: Mycobacterium malmoense
Lineage: Bacteria; Bacillati; Actinomycetota; Actinomycetes; Mycobacteriales; Mycobacteriaceae
Description: bacterial SSU rRNA
Rfam family: Bacterial small subunit ribosomal RNA
Source: RNAcentral